This 378-nucleotide unclassified non-coding RNA is filed under the name uncultured Enterobacteriaceae bacterium. RNAcentral's name for it is "contains 16S-23S intergenic spacer region". The record is from RNAcentral. Lineage: Bacteria; Pseudomonadati; Pseudomonadota; Gammaproteobacteria; Enterobacterales; Enterobacteriaceae.
UCCGGUUUAUCACCGGCAGUCUCCUUUGAGUUCCCACCUUUACGUGCUGGCAACAAAGAAUAAGGGUUGCGCUCGUUGCGGGACUUAACCCAACAUUUCACAACACGAGCUGACGACAGCCAUGCAGCACCUGUCUCAGAGUUCCUUUCGGCACAAAAACAUCUCUGUUCUCUUCUCUGGAUGUCAAGAGUAGGUAAGGUUCUUCGCGUUGCAUCGAAUUAAACCACAUGCUCCACCGCUUGUGCGGGCCCCCGUCAAUUCAUUUGAGUUUUAACCUUGCGGCCGUACUCCCCAGGCGGUCGAUUUAACGCGUUAGCUACGGAAACCAGGGUUCAUGACCCCAACCUCCAAAUCGACAUCGUUUACAGCGUGGACUAC